AUUGAACGCUGGCGGCAUGCUUUACACAUGCAAGUCGAACGGUAACAGGCCGCACGUUGCUGACGAGUGGCGAACGGGUGCGUAAUGCAUCGGAACGUGCCCAGUCGUUGGGAUAACUAACUGAAAGCGUAGCUCAUAACCCAAUCCCUCCUAAGAUGAAAAACGGGGACCGUCAGGCCUCCCCGGCUUUGUGCCGGCCAUGUCAGAUUAGGUAGUUGGUGGGGUAAAGGCUUACCAAGGCAACGAUCUGUAGCUGGUCUGAGAGGACGACCAGCCACACUGGGACUGAGACACGGCCCAGACUCCUACGGGAGGCAGCAGUGGGGAAUUUUGGACAAUGGGCGCAAGCCUGAUCCAGCAAUGCCGCGUGCAGGAAGAAGGCCUUCGGGUUGUAAACUGCUUUUGUACGGAACGAAACGGCUCUGGUUAAUACCCGGGGCUAAUGACGGUACCGAAAGAAUAAGCACCGGCUAACUACGUG
Molecule: ribosomal RNA, 481 nt
Filed under: uncultured bacterium
Lineage: Bacteria
Description: partial 16S ribosomal RNA
Rfam family: Bacterial small subunit ribosomal RNA
Source: RNAcentral